RNAcentral lists this ribosomal RNA (460 nucleotides) under uncultured bacterium. RNAcentral describes it as "partial 16S ribosomal RNA". It matches the Rfam family "Bacterial small subunit ribosomal RNA", at positions 338 to 795 of the family's 1533-position model. The record is from RNAcentral.
CCUACGGGAGGCAGCAGUGAGGAAUAUUGGUCAAUGGACGAGAGUCUGAACCAGCCAAGUAGCGUGAAGGAUGACUGCCCUAUGGGUUGUAAACUUCUUUUAUAUGGGAAUAAAAUGUUCCACGUGUGGGAUUUUGCAUGUACCAUAUGAAUAAGGAUCGGCUAACUCCGUGCCAGCAGCCGCGGUAAUACGGAGGAUCCGAGCGUUAUCCGGAUUUAUUGGGUUUAAAGGGAGCGUAGGUGGGUUGUUAAGUCAGUUGUGAAAGUUUGCGGCUCAACCGUAAAAUUGCAGUUGAUACUGGCAGUCUUGAGUACAGUAGAGGUGGGCGGAAUUCGUGGUGUAGCGGUGAAAUGCUUAGAUAUCACGCAGAACUCCGAUUGCGAAGGCAGCAUGCCGGCGCUCAACUGACGCUCAUGCACGAAAGUGUGGGUAUCGAACAGGAUUAGAUACCCCUGUAGUC